Haplochromis burtoni (Burton's mouthbrooder) is the source of this 282-nucleotide long non-coding RNA. RefSeq lists it as uncharacterized. Lineage: Eukaryota; Metazoa; Chordata; Actinopteri; Cichliformes; Cichlidae. The transcript is spliced from 2 exons. The record is from RefSeq and is a predicted model, not a curated record.
GCACUAUGUUAAAGGCAGAGACAUGAAAAUAGUAGCCCCCCAUUUUAUUUUAUACUCAAGGACAUUUGCUUUUAGUAAGGCCACUGCAAUGUAAGUUUUACUGUUGCAUAAGUUCCGCCAGCAGAGGGCGCUCGGUCCUGUACGCAUCGGUAGCUGACGCUACACUAGAAGAAGUAGUGUCAGUGGCGAAGAGGCAGCGUACGGCCUGCGCGCCAAAGAGAACUGAUUGUCUUAUUUUUCUGUUUUUACAGUUUUCUGUAAAAAUAAAUAUGUUGCACGGGA